CAUGGAGACCGCCUCCCCCUCCCCACACGCUGCUCUCUUCCCGCUCCCCUCUUCUCGUUCCCCUCACGAGGCCGGCGGUGGCUCCUCCCGUCCCGUCCCCAUCCCGCUCUCGCCCUCCGGGAGAAAGGCCCGGCGCCUGCUGAGGCGAACCAGGCCCGGCGGCCACCGGGGGCAGCCGCGCGCCGCGGAAAGCGGCGGCGGCGGCCCGGCCGCCUCACGGCCCCGGCCUAGGGCGGGGAUGUCCUGUCAAACCAGGGGGCGGCUGGUUAGGGCCUCGGCUCCGGCUGUCACCGAGGUGAAUGGCCAGUCCGGGAUGAACACUGGCGAAAGGGGAAAGUACAUGGCGUAGUAUUCCUUGUUCGUGUUUUUAAAGAAUUCUAAUAUAUGAAGUCUUUACAUGUAAAACGUCAGGCACACCUAUGCAGCUGCAGCCCGUUACAACUGCGAUGUUUUGGGGUUAUAAUGGCUAUUGUGCUGCUCAUACGGAAAUUUACGGAAAUACUGAAAUUUCAAGGUGAGCAGUCAUGUAGCUCAAGCUUUUCCCAAGCUUAUCUGUCAAAAGAAUGACCAUUGCCUUUUUAUUUUGUGCUUAAAUCCCUGGAGUUGGACAGGAAAACUUGAGCCUUUUUCCCACUACGUUCAGCUCUGGCUCAAAGUCCUCAUACUGAGUCUUACCUUGGAUCAGGAUCAACAAUAACUUCCUCCAGAUCCUCAGUUAAUUGUGGCCAAAGGUCUGCAGCUGUGGCAAGAACCAAAAUCCCUCCUGGGCAACACUUCUCAACAGGCCAACAUGCAGCAGAGGGAAGAGGUUUAGUGGCACAUGGAACACACCAGAGCUUCAUAAACAUCAAGGCAGACACUUCACUAACAACUACAAAUCAGUUCUAAUGGACUGAGGGGUGUGUUUUCUGCAGGGAAUUCCAUCAGGAGAUUUACCCCAGUCAGUACAAGAACUCGAAACUGAUGUGAAGAAAUCCUUUGGUUUGUGUCUUUCAACACUUCUGCUGGUUUAUUCAAGUUCUUUCUCAAGUUGCUGCACUGAUGGGAAUUAGGAACCCUCUGAAGAAAAUCCUGCAAGGACUUGCAAGUGCUCAUUGCACAAACAGAGUGAAAAUACUCCAGUUACGUACUGAGACACGACUAAGCCCAGGCACAGGAGCAUCUGGCUGCACAAGGCCCUAAACUGAACUCAGAAGCACUCAAAAGCCAGAGGAAUUGUGGCAUUCCCAAUGAAGGUGGAUCCAAAAGCACCAACACUUACUGGUUCACCCUGGCUGCCAAACAGGUAUCUCUUUCACAGGGCAUUUCAAGGCCUCUGACCAUUCCUGAAGACAACAAGGGUGUGGUUUUCCAGUCACUCUUUGCUCCCGACAUCAGAGGACACAGCCACAGUGACAGGCACAGAGAGGAGAAGCAGCCCUCCCAAAAUCAGGCAGCUGAUCAGAGGCAGACUGUCUGGCUCUCCACGUAGACCUACUGGACUUCCACAAGCAAUUUUUGACUAAUUCUCGUUCCCUCCCCAGCAGGGAACUGCUCUGUGUCUGAUAUGGCUCAGGGCCCCAGUGCUUCAGACUCCAGCAGGAACAUCUUGGCUUAAUUUAAAGCGUACUCACCCUGAAUUACAACUGUGUGGGUGCAGGCAGGUCCCUGAAGCAGCAACACUUGGGAUCCACGCUGUGAGAGGCAGGAAAUUUACUGUCACGCUGUGGUUUUGGGUUGUCUCUGCAGAAAACAACGAUUAUGGAACUUGUGAACACAAUUAGGUGACAUUAAAAGGUUUUUAAAGUAA
Corapipo altera (White-ruffed manakin) is the source of this 1789-nucleotide long non-coding RNA. RefSeq lists it as uncharacterized. The transcript is spliced from 3 exons. The record is from RefSeq and is a predicted model, not a curated record. NCBI's taxonomy places the organism in Eukaryota, Metazoa, Chordata, Aves, Passeriformes, Pipridae.